CUAGGAAGGCUGACACAUGAUGAGAAGAGUCAGUGGUUCUGAGGUACAGUACUUAAGAUAACCCUGUGAAGGCUGAGAUUGAGAGCCAUAUUGGAUUGUGAAAGGAACUCAGUUGACCUGGCCUAUUGCAGAUUUAUUCUGAGAAUUUCAAUUCAGUCUUUGCUGCUGUUUGGAAAUCUUUCAUGAAUCUUUUAAUAACUUCCUUACAUACUUCUUGUUCCAUUAAAGCCCCAAACUUGGCUUUGUCAGCUCUCUUUCUUCAUAAUCUUUAGGAUGUGUUCAUGUGUGGAUGUGAUGGAACUGAGGUCGCUAGGUUCAUGCUACCUGGAACAUGAGACGACAAAUAGAGGAGCACUGAGUCAAAUGAAUCUCGGAGAAAUGGAGCUGGAAGAAAACUGGAGUAAGCUUGUCCCUGAAAGGGCACUACAUUUGGAUAUCCAGCAGUGGGACUCAAUAUUUUUUCUUGUUGUUUAAUCUCAUUUCUGUUACUCGCAGCCAAAGGCUCUUAAUGAGAAAAUGGCUCUACCUAGUUUUCUGAACAUUGCCUCAGUCUCUCCACUCUUCCCUAUUACAACGGUCAUCUCUUUAAUUCACAUCCAAUAACUGAUAGUCUCUUGACUAAUCUACAUCCUCUCAUUCUCUCCUAAUUCACCUUUCAUACUGUUGCCAGGUGACUUUUCCUAAAAGACAACUUUCAUGAUGUCACUCUACUUCAUAAAUUCUUAUAAUGGUUUCUUUUUGCUUUUAGUCCAAACUCCUCAGGUUCGUUUUCAA
This 774-nucleotide long non-coding RNA is filed under the name Pan troglodytes (chimpanzee). RNAcentral describes it as "lincRNA". Lineage: Eukaryota; Metazoa; Chordata; Mammalia; Primates; Hominidae. The record is from RNAcentral.